ACCAGACACACUUGCAGCUUAAAUAUCUUAUUUGCCUGGGAAUUAGACAGUGUCCUCGGGAAGCUAGAGGAUUUUUUUCCUAUUUGUUCAGAUUGCUUAGAGUUAAUUACCUCAGACUAAUCAUCUCACAAAAACACACCAAGUAACUACUGAUUAAUUCAUGCAUUAAUGCAUUCAGAUUGCCUGCCUUAUUCCCUACACAGGAUAGAAGAGUCCAGUUAACUAAAAUACGCUAGUAAAUUAUCAUGUGCUAGGGUAUCAUCAAGGCUGUGGUUACUAUCAUAGCUCACAGAAUGAAACAUCUGUCUGUUCCCAUUGCUGUUGUAUAUCCACUUCUGUAAUAAGAAUGAUUUUGUGUCGUAGAGUUUAUUUAUAUGACCUGCAAACCACAGACUGAGUCCUGCUUUUCACUCAUGUGUAACUUUUAAAUUCUUUGAUGCUAUUUUAGCUUGCGUAGACUUGAAGAGUCUUCUCUCUUUUUCUUUUUUUUUCAUUUUUCUUUUUAAUGGUUCUUGGUGAAAGAUUUAAGGGAUUUUUGAACCAUCUUUUCUCUUUCUGAACAUAAUCUAUCUAACUAUGUCUUCUCAGUUACAUUAUUCUCAUAAAUGUGCCGUUUCAAUGACCACCAUAAUCUCAUUCUUUCUCUGAUAUUUGACAAGGCAGUUGAGAGACAUAGGAGCUUUAUAGUAUUUACUGAUUUAGUUGUAAUUGUAUGGUGCUAUUAAUACUAUAGAAGUUUAUGGUGCUUGAUGAAGUGUCUCAGGCUUUAGCGAGGUCGUGCUUGAUCAUUUUUUUCAGGCAUUCAUGAGCUGCUGUUUACCCUGACUGAUUGAACGGGAGUGUGUGUGUAACUGUGUGUUGAGUGUAUGCAUGUGCUAACUGGGUUAAGGGCUGUUUGUGUUGUGGGAGGUGAUGAGCCAGAUGGAGUUGCCUUGUAUACAUAUAGAAUGAGGCAGAAGGCACUAAAAAUAACGCUUUUACCUGGAUGAUGCCUCACACAUAUUCAAUAAGCUUUCUUGGUUUAACAACAACAACAGAGGUUAUCACAGAUUCAUUAGCUAGCCCAACUUGGGCAGAGUUAUACUUACUUUUACAUAAUGAGUCUACUAUGGAUAAAUGCAUGUUGAUGCCUUCAUGUUUCCUGCACUAGCACAUAAGUCUUUUACUUACUUCAUCUUCUUGUCUUUUAUGGAAACGUGGAUUGUACCCAUGAUUACACACGAUUCCUUGAUUUUGGUCUGUGGGUGAGGUGAGAUGAGGUGAGAUGAUUUCCUUCUGAAAUCAAUGACCAUAUCUUUUGACUUGGAUGUAUUGAGUUGGAAGAAGAUCUAAUCACACCAUCUAACUAACCACCAUUUAUCUUAUGGUCAGUGUGUCAUCAGUAAUAUCUGGAAAUUCACAGCUUUUAUGAGAGCAAGGGGAAGAGGAACACAGCUCUGACAAAAUGCCAUUAACCCUCAUAAUCUAGAAUUUUCUAGAAAAAAUGUUGUCACUGGAUGAUAUUAAAUGCUGACGAAGAGUCCAGAAAUAAAAGUCAUGCAUGUGUGUUUUGGCUUUUGAGAUUUUUAUACAAGAUGUUAUACAAGAGUGUGAUUUGGGUAUCCUUGACCCUUAACAAGGUGGAUGCAGCAGCAUUAAUAAUGGAGUAAAAGUGUCUUUCACAUGGGUUAUGAAAAGCACUGAGGACCAAAAAAGAAAAGAAAACCUAGCACGAUCAAUGAGACCCCAGGCAAAGGGUUACUAUAAAGUGUUUUUAGUUAUCUGUCUCAUACAUGUCUCAGUGAAAAGAUUUUAAACAGCAUUUAAAUCCACGCAUCUUUUUAAACACUUCUAGCAAUCAUGGAAUGCUGAAUGCUUUAAAAUCUUGUUAGUUUAUAUGGUUUCUUCACCUACACUGGGUUCUCACUGAGAGCCUGUGAGAAUAAAACAGAAAGUUUAGUGCACAAUCCUGCAGGACGAUGAAGUUGACCAUUAUAAUGACAGUUAGAGCCUGUAUAAAGCCACACUUUAUAUUCACAUAUGCCACAAUAUGUUUAUAGUUUUCUAUAAAUAGAUUCAUGAUGCAGUAAUGUGAUCAUACCACCGUGUGUGAGACAAACAUACAGAUUCGCAGGAGAAGAAACUCGGUAGAACGUGCUUGCGCUGCGUUAAUUUAAUGCUGUUCGGAUCUGAGCGUUUUAUCACAGAGCAGACAUUUUAUUACAGGCGCCACCACCCAGUGAAAUUAACACAGUGAAUAUGACUCAAGUCAUAUUCUUAAAAGCUGUUUGAAUCAGUUUCUGCUGUGGGAAAUUAUAUACGACUACACUUUUAAAAAGUGGUGCAGACACAAUAUACUUCUGAGGCAUUAAAUAACACGUGUAUUGCUGGGAAAUUGUUAGUAAACCUAUAUAUUGUGAUAAAUAUUGUGUAUUGGUGAAAUGUCUUUAAGAAUUGUUGGAUGAUAUUUUUGUCACAUCGCCCACCCCAUGCAGAUCUUUGUUGUCAUCACAUAUACAAUGUGCAGUGCACAAUGAGAUGAAAUAACGUUUCUCCUGGACCCAAGGUGCAAGAUGCAUGCGUGACAUACACAGUGCUGACAGGGCAUCAAUAAAGUGCAACAGGAACAAGAAGCAUGCAGGGACGGGGUAUGGGAAACAGUGGGUGUGAGUACACAGAGGAUCAGUAGAGUAUAAAUACUUCUAUCACAAAAAAAGAACAUUUAAACAUGGGAUGGGAGGGAUUGUCCACAAUGCUGGAGGCCUUACAGAUGCUGCGUGGGUGGAAAUUUCCUGAACAGGGGGCAGAUGUGUGCUGAUGAUGUGGUCAGCUGUCUGCAUUCUCCUCUGUAGGGUCUUGUGACUGGAGAUGUUGCAAUUCCCAAACCAGACAGUGACGCAGCUAGUCAGGACACUCUCUAUGGUGCCCCUGUAGAACAUGGUGAGGAUGGGUGGGGGUAUAAUCGCCUUCUUCAGACGCCGGAGGAAAUGCAGGUGCUGUUGGACUCUCUUGGCCAGGGAGCUGGUGUUGGUUGUCCAGGUGAGGUCUUCUGCAAUGUGAACACCAAGGAUCUCGGUGCUCAUCACCCUCUCUGCUGUUGAGCCAUUAAUGCACGGGGGCAGCGAUCAGCGCAAGACUUCCUGAAGUCAGCAUUCAUCUCUUUUCCUCUGUCGACUUUUAGUGACGGUUUGCUGUUCUUGCACCAGACCGUGAGCCGUUUCACAGUAGGGAGGAAAAGAAGCAUAACACCAUACCUUUCUCCUAUUGGUAAUUGCAACAUCACUUUGCUUCUCUUUUCCAUCAAGUUUUUGCCCAUAGUUUUUGCAUAAGUCUCCUUACCCACUUUGCAUCACUAACGGUUGUUCAGCCUCCUGUUGCUGUAGAUCCCCAGCUCUCAUUGAAAAUGAAAGACUUUUGACUGCUUUGUUGCAUUGUUGGGUAUGAGACCAGGGUAAUAUCAUUUUCAUCGCAUCUUGUUUUGCACUGUUUGACCUUUUUAAAACUAAUUUAAAUUUAAAAUUUAAUUUAAAACGCCUUGUACUUUUCAUUGUAUUUGUUUCCAAAAACAUAUUCCACAGAUCUGUUCUGAACAGGAGAAUCAGUCAUUGACCUACCCAGUACAAUAGCACAGUCUUGUUACUGUAAAUUUUUGUUUUGUUUGGGUUUUUUUCCCCUGAUACUUCAUAGUCUUGAUUGAACACUGGAAACAUGGAAAAAGAAAAUGUAACGAACCCAUCCACCAUAGACCAAUGCCACGUGGUAGCUGUAAACUUGGCCCUGAGGUGGAAAUUGGGCUAAAAGCUACUAAAUUACCAAUAGCUCCCCUUGUGGAAAAUGUUCAGCCUGUUAAAUGUAAGUGAAUGAGUGAUGAUCCAGGCCCAUGAGGUGCUUCACAUUUAAAAAAAAAAAUGCCUGGAAUUGCCUUGUCAGCAGGCCACUGAGUCAUGUGUCAUGUGCCAGGCAAUAAUGAAUAAAAAAAAGUGAUACCCUGGAAUUAUAAUCUGCUUCUCUGAGGCACCUGGGUUUAUGGUUUGGCCGCCUAAGCACCACAUGAAUACAAGCUAGUCUCAGCCUCAGAAUCUCUGCCUGUGGGCCAUGGAGUGUCUGAAAGCUUAUUAAACACUUUUCUGGCCACAAGAUUCAGGAUCUUAAAGGAUGCAGUCUGAUCCCUGUGCACCAGUUUUCAAUGGGAAAACAGCUUUUGAACACUGGAUAACAAUUAGCUUUUCAGAGCAACUUAUUGUGACUGGACUGAUGGAGCACCAUUUUGAAAAGUUAUUAAAGAGUUAUGAGUUAAUCUGCCAGGGAACUACUCUUCCAUGUCAGUUACAUUACCUCUUUCUAUAAAAGUAGCUUGGUUCUGGCCACAUUUAUUAACAAAAUGUACAAGACUGUCUGGUAAAUGUUAGAAGUCUGGUUUGCAAGAUUACUAACAGUUAUACUUGCCUGCAACUUGCCAGUAUUCAUUUUCUCAUACUAUAGAGGGCUUAAUGCUAUAAUUCUUAAACUAUUUCUAGUUCCUGGUUCCUAAAUGCACCAAAGUGAAAGAAACUGGAAUGAGGUAUCUGGUCUUUCAAGAGACUGACAUUCCCUUACCACUCCCAUCAGCGAGUCUUACAGUGACUCCCUGAGAAUGGGAGAGGAGUGCUGUGUCCUGUUAUUUCUGGAUUCAUGGCUGGAACAAAGGGAUUUUUAGGUCGAUCUAGCCGUUCCUGGACACCUCAGUGGAAUAGUUGGAUUAUUGUUUCUCUCUUUUGCUCAUGAAAGCAGUUGGAAUUGUGUGAGGGGAUGAAAGCAUCCUGUCCUGACUGGAGCUGUGUCAUGUGUCAUUGUUUGGCAUUAUGAGGUGUGUGCAUGUGUGUAUGAGGAAGAAGGAAAGGCUCGGCUCACGUGAUUGUCUGAAUGGGCUUUUGGGGUAGCCAGAGAGGGAUGGUGAAAAGUGUCUUUCUGACAGUUCUCUUAAAACACUUCUCUACUCUGGCUCUUCUUGUCACUCACCUGUUUCUUGUUCAACAAAGUUUCAGUCAUUGUUUGUUUAGUGCACACUACAUGCUUCCUUUAUAGGAAUUUGUUAAUAGCAAAGGUGUGGACUAGAAAUUAUUCUAGAGAUUCCAAAAAUGCAUGUACAAGCAUUGACCUUUGUGGAAGCUCUUCCACAUUUGGUUAAAUUGGCCUGAAAUGUGGCCAUGCCGUCAGAAGAAUGCAAACGUCAAAAAGCCGCGACCAUCUCAGGUAUGUAGUAUAUGAUCUAACACUAAUACUCUGACUUUCCAUAGAUGUUCAUAUCAGUGAACUACAUAAAUAGCCUAGCUGAUGCUUUUUGCCAGGAUGUGUUUACCUCCUAGAAUGGCUCCACCAGCUCUGGGUUAAACAUUAAACUUGAACCACAUGCAGUAUUUUCUUUAUGCUCUUGCCAUAACCAGCUGCUCCUAAAAAGUACACAUAGCUCCACACUGACUUCAGAGAAGACCUACCACAUUUUACAAGAGCCCAUUCGCCUGACCAAGUGGUCUUCAGUUGAUGCCAGUGGCUUGUAAUUUGAAUCAAUAGGAAUUAAGCCUUAAACUGUGAGAGCUCUUAAUGCUGAGUUGUGGUGAUGAGCAGCACAUCAAAGUGAGUAACCCUUCUCACACCCUGCAUGUGUGUGUUGAGGAGGUAGGGCAGAUUUGUAAACUAAAAUAAGAUGUUAUAUGUCUUGCGGUGUUAGUAUAGGAAGAAUCUCUUUAUGGAAAUAUUGCGAAGACGUCUUCCCAAGAAAGAUACCCAUCUCCUCAAUACAGAUCACUUCUUACGUGCUAAACGUUUUUUGUGCGUUUUAGGACAUAAUGAAGAUAAAAUCCAGCACUUAUGGAGUUGUGAAGUCUCCAUUAGACAGAUUAAAUAGAGCACUGUGCAAACAGCAGUGAAAUUUAAGAUUGAAUGUAGUUUGAUAGUGCUAUCCAUUUCUUUGCCUUCGUUGGGAUUAGUGGCUGGAAAGCGCUGAUCAGUUAUCAGAAGUGGGUUACCUAAAAAUGCAUAAAGGAACAUCGUCUGAUUAAAUAUUAAAAAGUACUCACUUAUUUGCUUUGAGAUCUAUGAUACUGACCUACUGAGUCUCAUGAUUCUCAGCAAACACAACAGCUCAUUUAUGGUUUUCGUCCUGCACGUUGAAGCAAUCAACUACACCAAACAUUGGUGUUCUCAGAACUUACAACCUCCUCAAAGAGCAAUCUUGAUUGUUUUUGGUUGUUGAUGAUCAUUGACUCUAAUUCUGGGUGCAAUUAAAAUCAUGGUUUUGUAAUGAAGGUAAUGAAGUGUUCUCACAGAACAUAAGGGUUUUGUGUUGCUAUAGUCUUCUAAUCCAGUUAUUUUAUUCAAUUUUUUGUUCCAUAUUUGUGGAUGAUAUAUGAUCAGCUGCUUGUGAUAUUCAGCAAUUAAGGAUUGGGAGUUUUUAACAGUAUUAAUUGUUAUAAGAUUUAGUAUAGUUGGUAUUAACUAAUUAUGAAUACAUUAGGUGGAAUGAACAGAUAAUCUAAAUGGAUAGAAGUACAGAUAUGAGUAGAUGGUGACCCUUUUUUUUUUUUCUGGCAAGAAAGCUUGCCAGAAAGGUUCACAGGGAAUCUGAUUGGGACUAGAGGUGUGCAUCAGGACUGGGAUCGCCAAAAAGAAAGUUACGCAAGCAGGAGGUUUUUACUUUUAUAAAAAAAAAUUGAAAGUAAGUGACUGAGUGAUCAUAUGUACAAAGAAAGACAACGUACAUUUACAGUACACAUUCAUUCUUCCUUAAUAACUGCCUGUUCAGGGUCACGGUGGUUUAGAUGAGGAUACUAGUUUCUUUACAUUUUGGAAAAAAGAACCAACUAAAUUUAUUACAAAAUAUCACAGGCAGGUAAAAACAAAAAUAUUAAUGGCAUGAGUGUGAUUAAAAAAAAAAAACAGUCCCACUCACCAUCUCUAGUUGAGACCAAUUAUGAACUUGUAUGAGGUUGAUGUUGGGGAACUUGUCAGAGCCAGAAUUCACACACCAUGCUGACAGUCCUGGCAUUUUGACUCCUGUGGGUUUUUUUUUUUUUUUUUUUGGCGGUUGUUGUUUUUCAGUUUCAGGGCAUAGUGGUAAAUUUCAUAUUAGUGUCAUACUUAAUUUAAAAAACUAAAUUAAUGAAUUUUUUAAAUCCCUUUCAUUAACACAGAUAGUGUCAUUGUGUUAUACCCCUGUUUGGUUUGAUUAGAUACAUGCACAUCUGAAGUGAAUUAUAAUUUUUAUUCUGCAUGUGCGAACAUUUCUCACUCGUUUUAAUGACCGGCUUUGUUUCAUAAGUCUUCAGUCAGCCUUUAUUCAGCAGCACCAAAUCAUCAUGAAAUAUUGCAGCCUAAACUCCAUCUGACUGAAUGUGUUUUGCACUCAGCAAGCAUGGAGUCGCUAAGUGCUAAAUCUUAUUCAGGAAUAAGAAAACACCAGAUACACAGUGAGUGCCAGAAUGUGGCUAUCCUCAUCUGACUUUGGGUUCCACUAGGAGACAGUUCUCUUUUCUGGCAGUGUUUAGUUGGUAAUACUGGCAUUUCCGCAUCACUCUACACUUUCAAUAAUCUCCGAUCUGUGGCUGUUGCUGACAUAGUGGUUUUUUUUUUUGUUUUGUUUUUUGGACAGUAGCAUAGACCAAAUUUAUGAAUGCAGUGUUUGGGCUCUAAAAUAUAUUUUUAAGUAAUGCCCCAAAGCAAAACUCUUUCUGGAGUCAGUCUGCCAUGUUGUCUUAUUUUUACACUGACAUUUAAAGUAAUCAUGUAAUCAUGCACUUCUCAUAGAUAAACACUGAUUGUAGUAAAACUGCAGCUCUGCUGAAGCUCACUGUCUAGAUGCGGUGGCUUGUGACCAGACUGUACACUUCUUGUGCCCUUCCAGUAAGUGUAUUUAAAGAGAUUUCUUCUUUUUUAUUAUAGAAAAAGUGCUCUAGUCAAUGAAAGUGCUGAGGCGAAGCUGUUGU
This is a long non-coding RNA of Pangasianodon hypophthalmus (striped catfish), 7940 nucleotides long. RefSeq lists it as uncharacterized. The transcript is spliced from 2 exons. The record is from RefSeq and is a predicted model, not a curated record. NCBI's taxonomy places the organism in Eukaryota, Metazoa, Chordata, Actinopteri, Siluriformes, Pangasiidae.